CGCCUUGCCAGCCCGCUCAGAACUUAAAGGAAUUGACGGGGCCGCACAAGCGGAGGAGCAUGUGGUUUAAUUCGAUGAUACGCGAGGAACCUUACCUGGGCUCGAACGUAAGAUGACUGUAGGUGAAAGCUUACAUCUCUUCGGAGCAUUUUACGAGGUGCUGCAUGGUUGUCGUCAGCUCGUGCCGUGAGGUGUCGGGUUAAGUCCCAUAACGAGCGCAACCCCUACCUUUAGUUGCCAUCAGGUUAAGCUGGGGACUCUAAAGGAACUGCCUACGCAAGUAGUGAGGAAGGCGGGGAUGACGUCAAAUCAGCACGGCCCUUACGUCCAGGGCUACACACGUGCUACAAUGGCCGAUACAGAGGGCAGCUACCUGGUGACAGGAUGCAAAUCUCCAAAGUCGGUCUCAGUUCGGAUCGGAGUCUGCAACCCGACUCCGUGAAGUUGGAUUCGCUAGUAAUCGCGCAUCAGCCAUGGCGCGGUGAAUACGUUCCCGGGCCUU
RNAcentral lists this ribosomal RNA (502 nucleotides) under uncultured Sphingobacteriales bacterium. RNAcentral's name for it is "bacterial SSU rRNA". It matches the Rfam family "Bacterial small subunit ribosomal RNA", at positions 903 to 1382 of the family's 1533-position model. Lineage: Bacteria; Pseudomonadati; Bacteroidota; Sphingobacteriia; Sphingobacteriales. The record is from RNAcentral.